RNAcentral lists this ribosomal RNA (253 nucleotides) under uncultured bacterium. RNAcentral describes it as "partial 16S ribosomal RNA". It matches the Rfam family "Bacterial small subunit ribosomal RNA", at positions 524 to 776 of the family's 1533-position model. The record is from RNAcentral.
UACAGAGGGUUCAAGCGUUGUUCGGAUUCAUUGGGCGUAAAGGGUGCGUAGGCGGUGCGGUAAGUCGGGUGUGAAAUCUCGGAGCUUAACUCCGAGACUGCAUUCGAUACUGCCGUGCUUGAGGACUGGAGAGGAGACUGGAAUUUACGGUGUAGCGGUGAAAUGCGUAGAUAUCGUGAGGAAGACCAGUGGCGAAGGCGGGUCUCUGGACAGUUCCUGACGCUGAGGCGCGAAAGUCAGGGGAGCAAACAGG